UGCCGCCCUUCUCCGAAGACUCAGGGCGGCUUACAAUUUUUGGGAUACAACCCAGUGUGCUCAGCAAUCUUAAGUCCGAGUCACUUGAUUUACUUCCGAGUAAGGCUAUACACGCAAACACUAAGCCACCCUGGCACCUUGUGCCCGCGAAACACAGGCCAUCCAAUAGCUUCACCCCCCUUAAUUUGGAAGAGGAUUAGCUCUUUUACGGGGUCAUAAUAGCCGGAGGUAGAGCUCAACCCGCCUAGUGGGCUUCAGUUGGGAGUCUGUUAAUUAACUGGUGUAAUUUUGGGGUGUUUUGAAGGGUUUUUGGAGCUGCUACCUCCGGGCCUCUUGAUGCCUUCUUAAGCAAGGUUAAUUAACUUCAGUGGGUUUGAGCUGUUUAAUUACAAAGGGCUGAUGUAAUAAAUGAUAAGGGACAGUUCCUGGAAAAUGAAAUCAAUGAAAUGUAAUAACUUAGAACACAGGAUGAGCACUGGUACUGAGCAUAAACUUCAUAGGUUUGCAAUUUCACAUGAUGAUUAUUAAAUGUUUGGCUUGAAAAUAUGCACAGCCAGCCUGAAAAAUAAGAGCUGAGGUAAAGUUUCAUGUUGACUUUUGUAGAAAACUAAUGAAAACAUUUACAUACGUAAGCAUAUAUUGUUUUCAAUGUAUACAGGUAGUCAUAAAAUGAGAACUGGAGUGAAUCAAAUACACAAUUCAUUAAACAAUGUUUCCAAAACAUCUGGUCCUGAAUUGCAGUUUGUUUGUUUUUUACAGAAUUUGAUUUGACAAUAGAUCUAAGCCCAAGCAACUGAAUGUACAGACAAUGUUUCAUGAAGAGCUAAUGAUGUUUCCACAAGACAAUCUGUGGAAGAAUCAAGAAUCCUACAAAAGCAAUAGAAAGAUACCAGCUCUCGUCGCUACCUUUCUGGAACCUGGAGAAAAGUUGAUGCCCAAAAUAGGAGUAGGAUGACCAGUUGAAAAGGAAUUCAGAAGCCAAAAACACAAAUAUAGGGAGAAAAAUUGCUCUGAUUGAGGUUGGCUAGAGAUCAGAAGGGAGAGAGGUUCUCUAUCUUUCAGCUCUGAUGAUACAUGAGAAUUCGUGUAAUCAAGAGGAAAAAGGUUUCAGGGCAUGUUGUUAUCACAACAAACUGCAAAUAUUGUAGGAGCAGAGUGAGAAAUGUACCUUAGAGACAGAAACCUAACUCUAGCAGCAAACAGCAACCUUAGCCACCCAAUCCCAAAGCUCUAUUAGUAGAAAUUGGAUAUAUACUUUUCUGAGAUGUAAUAGAAGGCUUGGAUCUAUACGAACCUUACUUGUACGACUCUUCUAAAGUCAUUCAGGAACUGGGAACAAUGUGUACUACCGGUAUAUCAGACUCCAUGUUACGAUGUCACUCCCAUUGCAACAAAUGGGAAAGAACUUCUAUAAUGAAAAAAUAUACACUAAAUAUAUUUUAUGUGCAGUAUUUUGUGGUUUCCUGGUUACUAAUUCUUUAAGGUAUGCCAGCUCAAGGUAUCUGAUUGAGAAGUAAGACAAUUGUGGUUUAUAAUCUACAAUAGCUGGUGUCAUACAACAUGCUAAGCAAAUAUUUAAAAGCCAUUUUAAGAUUUAGUGCAAUAUGUGAAUUCAGCAGUGUACAAUAAAUACCAGAUACUGGUGCCCUCAUCAAAAGUUU
This 1661-nucleotide long non-coding RNA is filed under the name Naja naja (Indian cobra). RNAcentral's name for it is "lncRNA (ENSNNAG00000018089.1)". The record is from RNAcentral. Lineage: Eukaryota; Metazoa; Chordata; Lepidosauria; Squamata; Elapidae.